Molecule: transfer RNA, 85 nt
Filed under: Erysipelothrix sp.
Lineage: Bacteria; Bacillati; Bacillota; Erysipelotrichia; Erysipelotrichales; Erysipelotrichaceae
Also listed under: 1 other name
Description: tRNA-Leu
Rfam family: tRNA
About the family: Transfer RNA (tRNA) molecules are approximately 80 nucleotides in length. Their secondary structure includes four short double-helical elements and three loops (D, anti-codon, and T loops).
Source: RNAcentral
GCACCAGUGGCGGAAUAGGCAGACGCGUACGCUUGAGGGGCGUAUGAAGCAAUUCGUGUGGGUUCAAGUCCCACUUGGUGCACCA